Molecule: long non-coding RNA, 1749 nt
Organism: Piliocolobus tephrosceles (Ugandan red Colobus)
Lineage: Eukaryota; Metazoa; Chordata; Mammalia; Primates; Cercopithecidae
Source: Ensembl
GAAACUAAAAAGUGACAAAAAAAAAAAAGAGAAACGCAAGGAAACUGUAAUUGAUUAUAAAAAAUGUAUUAAGAAGGCAAAAAUAAAAAACAGAAUAAAUAAAAAAGAUGAAGAUCAAAAUGAUUUUGAUAUAUCGAUAUUUAUGAAAACUGAUCAUGUGUCCAAUAAGAUACGUCAUUUAAAUUAUGUAAAGCUAGUUAAGAAUAUAAAAAAUAAUAAAUAUUUACUUGGUAGUAAUUUAAAAAAAAUUAUUGAAAUUUAUGGAAUGGGUAUUAUAGACGAAGAUAAACAUAUUCGUAAUUGUGCUUCAAAAAUAUUUUACCAACUAAUAAAUAGUAAUAUAAAUUCUAACAUAAUAUUUAAUAAAAUUAAAACUAGUUUAUUUUAUUCGUUAAAAAUAGAUAAUGAAUCAUUUAAAGUAUUGAAUAUAGAGUUAUGUUAUAAUUUUUAUUUUACAAAAAUAGAAUAUAGUUAUAAAUGCUUUUUUGAAUUUUUAAAAAAUAUAAUUGAUUGUUUUGUUUCACUAUCAAUUGAACAACAGAUUAAAAAUGUAAAGUAUAUAUUUUUAUUAUUUAAAGUCAAAAAUAAGUACAAAAGGGGUUUACAUGGUGCUGUAAGUAAUGAUGGUAGUAUUAGUGGCGGUAGUAGUAACCGAUGUAGUAAUAUGUAUACACUCGAAAUUAAUACAUUAUGUAGUUUUAAAAACGAAAGACGUAACUGUGAUGAAAACGGAAACACACUUAACAAUAAGAGGACCAACACAAUAAACGAUUACAGUAAUAUAAAGUAUGACAUAUCACAUAAUAGUAUAACGAAGAAUUUUAUUAAAGAUAAAAAAUCAAAAAUAGUUAGUACAAACACAAUAAAGAGUAACAUAAAUAUGUAUACUUCUGAAGCACCUAAUAAUGUAAAUGUUGGUACAUCCAAAGAAGCAUGUGAUAAUGAUGACGAUUCAUCAACAUCUUAUUAUUAUAACAAUUACGAAAAAGUAAUUAAAAAUAAUUUAUUAAAUAGUAAAUAUGAUAAAUUUUUAAUAAAAGAAGAAACUAAAAAAAUAGUUAAUUUGGAUAUAAAAAUAGAUAUAUAUACUAAGAUGCUUAAAUGUUUAUAUAAUUUUACAGAAGAAGUAAGAUGUAAUUUAAUUUCUGUUGAUUUAAUACACGUAUAUAAAAAAAUAUUAAAAACAAUUAUUUGUUUAGUAAAUAAAAAGAAGAAUAUAAUGCUAACAGUAGAUAUUAUUUUAUUAAUUAACAAGUUUAUAAAAAAUGUUAUACAAAUAAUUAAUACAAAUUUAAAUAAUUUAGAAAAUUUCAAAAAUUUGAAUUUAAUUUAUUAUUUUAUUGAGUUAAUUAUGUCUAUCUGUUUAAAAGAUAUUUCUUUUUUUCAAGUAUUGAAUAAAAAAAUAUAUAUGGAUUAUUUAUUUUUGCUCCGUUACUGUUUUUCUUUAUAUUUUUAUGUUUUUAUAAGCUGUAAUUUUUUUACGACUGAAUGUGAGGGGAAUAAAAUUAGUGAGAACAGAGAGGUAGCUGUGAUUUGCAUUAAAGAAGGGGACAUGAAGGUAUAUAAAAGGAACAGUUGUAAAGGCGAAAAGCGUAGCGACGUUAAUGGUGACAUUAAUAGUGACGUUAAUAGUGACGUUAAUAGCGGAGUCAACGGUGUUAAAAAUAUAAAUAAUGGUGAUAAAAAUAUAAAUAAUGGUAAUAAAAAUAUAAAUAAUGGUGUUAAAAAUAUAAAUAAUGGUAAUAAAAA